RNAcentral lists this long non-coding RNA (242 nucleotides) under Lathyrus oleraceus (garden pea). RNAcentral's name for it is "Pisum sativum (pea) long non-coding RNA (PSAT_LNC000486)". Lineage: Eukaryota; Viridiplantae; Streptophyta; Magnoliopsida; Fabales; Fabaceae. The record is from RNAcentral.
UUGUAGAGCCAGUUAUUGCGGUUAUGAACACUAGUCCUAGGAUCGGGCAUGGUGAAUAGGCAAAGAACUUGGUUAUUAAUUAUAAGCUCAAACUCGUCAGAUCCUAGGUUUGCUAUAAACAUAGUGUUGAAGAGGAAGGGUAUACUCAUAGUAGUAAUGCCACAAAAAGGGCUUAAGUCAAGCAUAGACUGACGUAAUCCGAUAGCAUUACCAAUCAUGGUUAUCAAACCGCCUAUUCGAAU